CCCUGAAUUUUAAUCUUUUGUGAUUUUUGUCAACUUUGAAUGGGCGUAUGACAUUUGCGCCGAUUUUGAAAAUUUUCAUUCCUUCAUUUGCGCCGAUUUCAUUUUUUCAUUUGCGCCGAUUUUAUAUUUUUGCCUAAUUGGAUUUACAGGUAAGUUACAGGUAAGUUAAUACUUUUACAUGGGGUGAGCACAGAGUAUAAAGACAAAUCAAGUGACAUUGCAAUUGGUAAAUGGCUAUCCCAAUGUUUCGGGUUACCAUUCCUUUCCCUAAAUAAAAUCUAUGACUGCUCACGUUUGACAUUGUCUGACGCUCCGCUACUUCUGAUGACAAACGUCAUACAUUCUUAGACAACGUACAAGUACACAUUCCAUAACGGUCAACCAAUUCGUGAUGGCAUCUAUAAAAUUAACGAAGGGAUGAUUUUAACUGCACCAUUUGGAACUCCUUGUUUAAUAG
This 457-nucleotide long non-coding RNA is filed under the name Mytilus galloprovincialis (Mediterranean mussel). Lineage: Eukaryota; Metazoa; Mollusca; Bivalvia; Mytilida; Mytilidae. The record is from RNAcentral.